GACGAACGCUGGCGGCGUGCCUAAUACAUGCAAGUAGAACGCUGAAGGAGGAGCUUGCUUCUCUGGAUGAGUUGCGAACGGGUGAGUAACGCGUAGGUAACCUGCCUGGUAGCGGGGGAUAACUAUUGGAAACGAUAGCUAAUACCGCAUAAUAGCAGUUGUUGCAUGACAACUGUUUGAAAGGUGCAAAUGCAUCACUACCAGAUGGACCUGCGUUGUAUUAGCUAGUUGGUGGGGUAAAGGCUCACCAAGGCGACGAUACAUAGCCGACCUGAGAGGGGGAUCGGCCACACUGGGACUGAGACACGGCCCAGACUCCUACGGGAGGCAGCAGUAGGGAAUCUUCGGCAAUGGACGGAAGUCUGAACGAGCAACGCCGCGUGAGUGAAGAAGGGUGUCGGAUCGUAAAGCUCUGUUGUAAGAGAAGAACGAGUGUGAGAGUGGAAAGUUCACACUGUGACGGUAUCUUACCAGAAAGGGACGGCUAACUACGUG
RNAcentral lists this ribosomal RNA (495 nucleotides) under uncultured bacterium. RNAcentral's name for it is "partial 16S ribosomal RNA". It matches the Rfam family "Bacterial small subunit ribosomal RNA", at positions 28 to 507 of the family's 1533-position model. The record is from RNAcentral.